CAGAUUCAGGUUCAAAUUGAUAGG
RNAcentral lists this non-coding RNA (24 nucleotides) under Arabidopsis thaliana (thale cress). The record is from RNAcentral. Lineage: Eukaryota; Viridiplantae; Streptophyta; Magnoliopsida; Brassicales; Brassicaceae.